AACGAAAUAUUCUGUCUUCUCUAUCCUCUCGUCGCUCUCCCCUGCCGAUUACCGUUGCCGUGUGCGCCUGUUCUUAUCCAGCCGUCGCCUGAGGUUCUUCAAGAAAAUCCGGCCGCCGCUGUUGAAGAUUUUUCUACGCGCGCGCUCCUAUCCUCAGUCGCCGCUCAAGCCGCCGCCCUGGAUUCCUACAAAUCCCGCCGGAGUUCCGCUCGGUGUUCCCCUCCCCGGUCGUGAGCUCGCGAGGUUCCCUGGCGUGCAGGCUUCUUCUCCACCGCGAUCCUCUGCUGCCUGCUCGCCCCUGACCUCCCAUGGAGCGCUCCUCUCUCCUCCCCAGCCGAGGCCCUUCCUUCCCGUGGUCUCCCAUGGCGCACCUUGAGCCUCACGCGGCCGCACCUGGCCAGAUUUCCCAGCCGUAGCCCCUUCUCUGCGCGUGUCCUCU
Molecule: unclassified non-coding RNA, 439 nt
Filed under: Zea mays
Lineage: Eukaryota; Viridiplantae; Streptophyta; Magnoliopsida; Poales; Poaceae
Description: misc RNA Zm00001eb390030
Source: RNAcentral